This 310-nucleotide long non-coding RNA is filed under the name Sorghum bicolor (sorghum). RNAcentral's name for it is "long non-coding RNA (SBIC_LNC011655)". Lineage: Eukaryota; Viridiplantae; Streptophyta; Magnoliopsida; Poales; Poaceae. The record is from RNAcentral.
GUCCAGCACCUUGGCGAACGCCACGGCGGAUCCGAUGAUGUUGACGAGGAUGAUGAUGAUGGGGGUCACCAUGAGCCAGGUCCAGCGCACCACGUACAGGUCGGCGUAGGGGUCCUUCUUCUCGUCGCCGGCGGGCUGCUUGGAUGUGAGCUUGAAGGAGAUGUCUCGCCGGAACACCACUUUCACCAGCACCUGGCACACGGCGGCCAGGUACGCGGAGCAGCUGGCCGUCAUCCAGAACUGCCCGUUCCUGAACCACUCGAAGACGGUGACGCCCGCCCAUUUCACCUCCAGGACGGCCAGGAUGAGC